AGCAGCCGCGGUAAUUCCAGCUCCAAUAGCGUAUAUUAAAGUUGUUGCAGUUAAAAAGCUCGUAGUUAAAUUUCGGGAUCAGUUGGUCGGUCGUGCCUCGGUACGUACUGGUCAAAUUGAUUCCUACCUUCUGACGAACCACGAUGUCAUUAAUUUGGUGUCGCGGGAAAUCAGGACUGUUACUUUGAAAAAAUUAGAGUGUUUAAAGCAGGCUCGCGCUUGAAUACAUUAGCAUGGAAUAAUGAAAUAGGACGUUUGAUUCUAUUUUGUUGGUUUCUAGGAUCGACGUAAUGAUUAAUAGGGAUAGUCGGGGGCAUUAGUAUUCAAUUGUCAGAGGUGAAAUUCUUGGAUUUAUUGAAGACUAACUACUGCGAAAGCAUUUGCCAAGGAUGUUUUCAUUAAUCAAGAACGAAAGUUAGGGGAUCGAAGACGAUCAGAUACCGUCGUAGUCUUAACCAUAAACUAUGCCGACUAGGGAUCGGAUGAUGUUAAUUUUUUAAUGACUCAUUCGGCGCCUUAC
This 520-nucleotide unclassified non-coding RNA is filed under the name uncultured Glomus. RNAcentral's name for it is "SSU rRNA". It matches the Rfam family "Eukaryotic small subunit ribosomal RNA", at positions 569 to 1091 of the family's 1831-position model. Lineage: Eukaryota; Fungi; Glomeromycota; Glomeromycetes; Glomerales; Glomeraceae. The record is from RNAcentral.